GCCGCGUGAGUGAUGAAGGUUUUCGGAUCGUAAAACUCUGUUGUUAGGGAAGAACAAGUACCGUUCGAAUAGGGCGGUACCUUGACGGUACCUAACCAGAAAGCCACGGCUAACUACGUGCCAGCAGCCGCGGUAAUACGUAGGUGGCAAGCGUUGUCCGGAAUUAUUGGGCGUAAAGCGCGCGCAGGCGGUUUCUUAAGUCUGAUGUGAAAGCCCCCGGCUCAACCGGGGAGGGUCAUUGGAAACUGGGGAACUUGAGUGCAGAAGAGGAGAGUGGAAUUCCACGUGUAGCGGUGAAAUGCGUAGAGAUGUGGAGGAACACCAGUGGCGAAGGCGACUCUCUGGUCUGUAACUGACGCUGAGGCGCGAAAGCGUGGGGAGCGAACAGGAUUAGAUACCCUGGUAGUCCACGCCGUAAACGAUGAGUGCUAAGUGUUAGAGGGUUUCCGCCCUUUAGUGCUGCAGCAAACGCAUUAAGCACUCCGCCUGGGGAGUACGGUCGCAAGACUGAAACUCAAAGGAAUUGACGGGGGCCCGCACAAGCGGUGGAGCAUGUGGUUUAAUUCGAAGCAACGCGAAGAACCUUACCAGGUCUUGACAUCCUCUGACAACCCUAGAGAUAGGGCUUCCCCUUCGGGGGCAGAGUGACAGGUGGUGCAUGGUUGUCGUCAGCUCGUGUCGUGAGAUGUUGGGUUAAGUCCCGCAACGAGCGCAACCCUUGAUCUUAGUUGCCAGCAUUCAGUUGGGCACUCUAAGGUGACUGCCGGUGACAAACCGGAGGAAGGUGGGG
This 790-nucleotide ribosomal RNA is filed under the name Bacillus licheniformis. Its description in RNAcentral is "bacterial SSU rRNA". It matches the Rfam family "Bacterial small subunit ribosomal RNA", at positions 396 to 1178 of the family's 1533-position model. The record is from RNAcentral. Lineage: Bacteria; Bacillati; Bacillota; Bacilli; Caryophanales; Bacillaceae.